GACGAACGCUGGCGGCGUGCUUAACACAUGCAAGUCGAACGGUAAGGCCCUUCGGGGUACACGAGUGGCGAACGGGUGAGUAACACGUGGGUGAUCUGCCCUGCACUUCGGGAUAAGCCUGGGAAACUGGGUCUAAUACCGGAUAGGACCACUGCCUGCAUGGGUGGUGGUGGAAAGCUUUUGCGGGGUGGGAUGGGCCCGCGGCCUUUCAGCUUGUUGGUGGGGUGAUGGCCUACCAAGGCGACGACGGGUAGCCGGCCUGAGAGGGUGACCGGCCACACUGGGACUGAGAUACGGCCCAGACUCAUACGGGAGGCAGCAGUGGGGAAUAUUGCACAAUGGGCGCAAGCCUGAUGCAGCGACGCCGCGUGAGGGAUGACGGCCUUCGGGUUGUAAACCUCUUUCAGCACCGACGAAGCGCAAGUGACGGUAGGUGCAGAAGAAGGACCGGCCAACUACGUGCCAGCCGCCGCAGUAA
Molecule: ribosomal RNA, 478 nt
Filed under: uncultured bacterium
Lineage: Bacteria
Description: partial 16S ribosomal RNA
Rfam family: Bacterial small subunit ribosomal RNA
Source: RNAcentral